This 3008-nucleotide long non-coding RNA is filed under the name Callithrix jacchus (white-tufted-ear marmoset). RNAcentral describes it as "lncRNA (ENSCJAG00000072419.1)". Lineage: Eukaryota; Metazoa; Chordata; Mammalia; Primates; Cebidae. The record is from RNAcentral.
CCACCUUGCAGUGCACAGGACAGCCCCCACGACAAAGAAUUCUCCCACUCCAUUGUCAACGCUUUAUUUGGGACAGGCACUUACAAUCCUCCAAGAACGAAUAGCUGUGUAGACUUCCACAAGGCCCAAGGCAAACAUAAUUUAUGGAAAGACAAGCUUCUCAAAUCCUGUAUUCUUAGAUUUCUAAUUCCGUUAAGCGUGGCAUUAAUAUGCAGUCGAAGGCCUUUCCUGGUUGCAUUAUCUCUGAGCAGCCACAAGAGGGAGUGUGAAGAACGCAAUCCUCUGGAACUGCACUUUCAGAAACCAUUUCCUUUAGUCCACAGGAGAAGCACCCGCAGCUUCACGUAUUCUGAGCAGGAGGAAGAGACCCUUAGGACAGUCACCUGCAAGUCCUCUUAACGUUCUGUUUACUCGGAAGACGGAGAAAGGGAAGGUUCGGAAGGUUCCUCGAGAUUUCCUGUCCUGGGUUUGUAAACGAUGCCUGAGGGAGGUUUGGCAAAAAUCAGCCCACACGGACACUGGGCUCUAUUUGAUUUAGCUGAAUUUUUACCAUGCCAGAAACGGCCAAGGCUCCUGGGGUGACUCGGGGUUUCAGUGGAAUUAAUCACUCUAAGUUUGAUUUUUCCACAGUGAUUCAUUUCCUUCAAAAAGGAUCUUGAUGAUUUCGUUUGCCUUUGGCAUUUUCAAAGGAAGAGAAAUCAGCAUUCUGUGUUUUCUUUCAAAAUAGAACAGGGAAUGGAAAUCAGAGCCCUGGAUCUCCUCCCUCGCACCCUCACUCUGUUUAUGCGCUAUUGCCGCAGGUGGGCGUCCUGCAGAAAGCUCAAGUGCUUCCAAGAAUACCCAGAUAAUUGCUGUCAGGUAGGGCACUCAGGAAAGAGACGCCGAUGGAAUAUUGGGGUGUCGAAGGACAAUAGUUCUCAGAUUUCGGCAUAGAUCAAAAUCACUCGGAAUACUUCCUUGUUCAAACACAGAGCUCGGUUUCGAUUUAGCAUGUCUGAGAUUGUGGCUGAGAAUGAGCAUUUUUAACAAGUUCUCAGGUGAGGCUGAGGUUGCAGGUUGGAGGACACACCUUGAGAAUCACCGCUCUGGAGAGUAUUCUACGGUUUCUAAGAUUUCUCCAUUAACCCUGAGAACGGGGCCUGAGAAUCUGCGCCACCCACGUCACAGUAACAAUGUGCCCCCACGUGGGACUGGUGCCUGAGAUUCUGAUCCCGGCUUCUAGGGCAAUGACGACUAUUCCCUACUCGCACCUUCUUGCAGACUCUAAGGCGCCAUGAAAACUAGACGUCUGAAAUGAACAAAAUCCUCAGACGGCUUCCCCAAAAUACUCCCAACCACUGCGUUUCCCUGCCACAACGUCACACAACCCUGCUCAUAGCUGUGGCCUCUGUUUUAAAAUCUGAAUGCAUGGGAGGAUGCAUAGGCAAAUGCAUUCUCUACCAAGUGGAUGCAAUUUGCCAGAGUUUUAUGGAUUGACUCAAUUUCUGGGUGACCUUGACAAGUUACUUAAUCUCUGCAUAUGUUCUAUAAAAUGGGAACAAUAGCUGCACUUAAGGGUGGGCGCAUGGGUUGAAUGAACUAAAACUUGAACAGUGAUUAUAACAAUGGUUCUCACACUGUUCUCAGUAAAUAUUAGCUAUUACUGUUACCCUUCACCUUCACUUCUAGUAUCGAUUUUCUUAUCUGGAAACUUGAACUAAAAAGCCCCUCAAUUUCUGGGAGUGUAUUCUUGUGCUGUGUUAUUGGAAUAUUGGAAGUAUGAUGGAAUUACCUUUAAACCUUUCACCUGGCUGAAUGAUGUGGCUUGACUGCCAUGCAGAGGUCAGUGAUCAGAUGUAAAGGUCAAUUAUAAUUUCUAAGAGUUAAAGGUAUCUAAACCACUUAGCUUGUUCCAGGUUUAUUAAUUUUGAACAAUCUGUGGUGCUGACUACAUGACCUUCGUAGCACGUUAGAGCUUCCUUAACCGUUAUUCUUUCUGUGUUACAAAAUAACAGAAGGAAAAAUAGGAAAUGUGGUCCUGGAACACUGCUGUGUUAUUUGGGGCAAAGCAUUUCAUGUGCUGCUUGCGUCUGUUCCCUGAGUGAUAAAAUGGGUUAACAAUUAAAAGCUGCUUCAGGAUUCCAAGCAGGUUUUCCAUGUAUAUGACUAAGUAUUAUUCAAUUACUAAUGCUCCUCAACUUACAGUGAUGCUACAUUCCGAUAAAUCCAUCAUAAAUUGAAAACAUGAUAAGGAAAAAAUACCUUUUUUUUUUUUGUUUUUACCUAAACCAGUGGUAAAGGAGGAAACUGGUAGGUCAAACCAUCCUGUAAACUUUAAACAAAUAUCUUUGAUGUGAAUUUUCGUUUUUACCUUUUAAUUUUUAACCCUUUAUAUACUGUAUAGGUGAUACUGUGAGGAUGUAAAAUCCAAUAGGUUGAAAGGGUAAACAAGGAAAAACAAGCCUCACUCCAUACUCAUCACCUGCCUACACAGUGUCUAUCCACCAAGACUUUGUUUUUUCAAUUAGACAUUAUCUGAGUCUUUGAGUAGUUUUAGGUUUACAGAACAAUUGGGAGGAAAGUACACAGAGUUCCCCUAUACUGCUGCCCCACAUAUGCACAGCUGUCCCCACUAGUUUCAACAUCCCACAGCAGAGUGGGGCAUUUGUUACAAUGAAUGAACCAGUGUUGACACAUCAUUAUUGGCUGAAGUCCACAGAUUACAUUAGAGUUCAUUCUUGGUGUUGCACGUUCUGUGGGUUUUGACAAAUUUAUCAUGACAUGUAUCCACUAUUAGAGUAUCACACAGAAUAGUUUCACUGCCUUAAAAUGCCCUUCACCUACACAUCCCUCCUUCCCAUUAAAGCCCUGGAAACUUCUGAUCUUUGUACUGUCUUCUUAGUUUUUCCUUUUCUAGAAUGUCAUAUAGUUGAAAUACUAUAGUAUCUAUCCAUUUCAGAUUGGCUUCUUCCACUUAGCAAUAUGCAUUUAAGGUCUCUUCAUGUCUUGACUUACUCAUCUUCACCCUU